Molecule: non-coding RNA, 94 nt
Organism: Mycena rebaudengoi
Lineage: Eukaryota; Fungi; Basidiomycota; Agaricomycetes; Agaricales; Mycenaceae
Source: the annotation of a GenBank genome assembly
GCCUCGGUGGAUCAUGGUGGAACGUCCCUGAUACUUGAGCCGGCACCACCACUUCUACAGCGGGAAGAUGGGGGUUCGAAUCCCUCCCGAGGCA